CACGCCGUAAACGAUGAGUGCUACGUAUCGGUCGAAUCGGUGCUCAAGCUAACGCAGUAAGCACUCCGCCUGGGGAGUACGGUCGCAAGACUGAAACUCAAAGGAAUUGACGGGGACUCGCACAAGCGGUGGAGCAUGCGGUUUAAUUCGAUGCAACGCGAAGAACCUUACCAGGUCUUGACAGUAUAAAGAAUACUUAAGAGAUUAAGGGCUAAGAAUUAAGCUUGCUUAUUUCGCUUUAUAAACAGGUGG
This 252-nucleotide ribosomal RNA is filed under the name uncultured Bacillota bacterium. Its description in RNAcentral is "uncultured Firmicutes bacterium partial 16S ribosomal RNA". It matches the Rfam family "Bacterial small subunit ribosomal RNA", at positions 796 to 1041 of the family's 1533-position model. Lineage: Bacteria; Bacillati; Bacillota. The record is from RNAcentral.